AGCAGGUAAGGGAAUCUUCCACAAUGGGCGCAAGCCUGAUGGAGCAACACCGCGUGAGUGAAGAAGGGUUUCGGCUCGUAAAGCUCUGUUGUUAAAGAAGAACACGUAUGAGAGUAACUGUUCAUACGUUGACGGUAUUUAACCAGAAAGUCACGGCUAACUACGUGCUAG
RNAcentral lists this ribosomal RNA (171 nucleotides) under uncultured bacterium. Its description in RNAcentral is "partial 16S ribosomal RNA". It matches the Rfam family "Bacterial small subunit ribosomal RNA", at positions 350 to 511 of the family's 1533-position model. The record is from RNAcentral.